This 30-nucleotide non-coding RNA is filed under the name Mus musculus (house mouse). The record is from RNAcentral. Lineage: Eukaryota; Metazoa; Chordata; Mammalia; Rodentia; Muridae.
UGAUAUGAAGGACUUUGCCUGGUCUCACCC